Molecule: ribosomal RNA, 207 nt
Filed under: uncultured bacterium
Lineage: Bacteria
Description: partial 16S ribosomal RNA
Rfam family: Bacterial small subunit ribosomal RNA
Source: RNAcentral
CUCGUAGGUGGCCAACUAAGUCAGACGUGAAAUCCCUCAGCUUAACUGGGGAACUGCGUCUGAUACUGGGUGGCUUGAGAUUGGGAGAGGGAUGCGGAAUUCCAGGUGUAGCGGUGAAAUGCGUAGAUAUCUGGAGGAACACCGGUGGCGAAGGCGGCAUCCUGGACCAACACUGACACUGAGGAGCGAAAGCCAGGGGAGCAAACG